UGGGGAAUAUUGCGCAAUGGGGGAAACCCUGACGCAGCGACGUCGUGUGAGGGAAGAAGGCCUUCGGGUCGUAAACCUCUGUCAGAAGGGAAGAACAUCCGGGAGUCGAACAGCCUCCCGGCCUGACGGUACCUUCAGAGGAAGCGCCGGCUAACUCCGUGCCAGCAGCCGCGGUAAUACGGAGGGCGCAAGCGUUAAUCGGAAUCACUGGGCGUAAAGCGUGCGUAGGCUGUUUGAUAAGUCAGACGUGAAAUCCCUCGGCUCAACCGGGGAACUGCGUUUGAUACUGUUGAACUAGAGUCCUGGAGAGGGUGGCGGAAUUCCUGGUGUAGGAGUGAAAUCCGUAGAUAUCAGGAGGAACACCGGUGGCGAAGGCGGCCACCUGGACAGGUACUGACGCUGAGGUACGAAAGCGUGGGGAGCAAACA
This 428-nucleotide ribosomal RNA is filed under the name uncultured prokaryote. RNAcentral describes it as "bacterial SSU rRNA". It matches the Rfam family "Bacterial small subunit ribosomal RNA", at positions 355 to 774 of the family's 1533-position model. The record is from RNAcentral.